CCUACUGGGUGGACGCGGCUAGAGCCCAAGGUCAAGUUGAAAGUUGAUGUCUAGCGGACGAG
This 62-nucleotide small RNA is filed under the name Hucho hucho (huchen). Its description in RNAcentral is "HOXA transcript at the distal tip, conserved region 2 (ENSHHUG00000036243.1)". The record is from RNAcentral. Lineage: Eukaryota; Metazoa; Chordata; Actinopteri; Salmoniformes; Salmonidae.